UAUAGCCAGAUUUUCUCUUUCUUUCUAUUUGUACUCAUAGAUUUUAGUUAUCCAUGGAGAAAACAGCACUAGGAAUAGAUUCUGGACUCGAGUGGCCUUGUGUCUGCCACACAGUUGCACAGUGAAUUAAAAGAUGCUGUUGAAAAAAAAUUGGAGGCCUUUCCCCUUGGCACAGAGAUAGGAACUGAUACAUAUGCAGAUGAUGAAACAGUCAGAACCUUCAAGAACAAUUGCAGCUAGCCAAUCAAAUUAUACAGAUGGAAACAUGUAUUUAAGCCUGAAAGCUUCAGAGCUGAUGGAUGCCGGGUCUUCUGGCUCUACCAUCCACGCCUCCCACUGCUCUGCUCUCCUGGAAGUCCUGCCCUCAUGCUUUGAGAAGUAAUCUGCUACAAAGAGACAGGGACAGGCAGUAGAUCUUCAUCUGAGGGCAUCAAGAACCCUGGACCUUUAAAGUUAGAAAGAACUUGAUAGUUUCUGUUCUUACUCAUCUCACUUCACGGGCCUGUGGACCAAUCAACUCCCAUUUUUCAAAUCUCAGUGAUUGCCUGUGAAAAGCCAUGGGGAGUACAUAAGUUUGAAGGCCUCACCUUGGAUGGAAACGGCUUCUUUCUGAGAAUAUCCUGCGACUUCAGAAUGAUUACUCUCAUAAAGCAUGCAGCCACAGAGGCUGGACAGAGAUCUUCAGCCUUGUGAUGAAGGGAAACUGAGCUGGGGUUCCAGAAAGGAUUCUUCUCCUUAACCUAAUUUACGUUCAUCUCCUCAUAAAGAUGAUGAAGCAAGACUGAAUUUUAUUUAAUUUUCAUGCAUUGAAAUUAAAUCUCCAUUCCACUCCC
This is a long non-coding RNA of Symphalangus syndactylus (siamang), 833 nucleotides long. RefSeq lists it as uncharacterized. The record is from RefSeq and is a predicted model, not a curated record. NCBI's taxonomy places the organism in Eukaryota, Metazoa, Chordata, Mammalia, Primates, Hylobatidae.